CAAGUGCAUCUUGUUGAUGAUAGGACGGACUCCAUUGUUUGGAAAUUGACGCCCUCGGGCUGCUACUCUGCUGCAUCCGCUUACACGGCCCAAUUCCUUGGGCAAACUGCUACAAACUUCAAGAGCGUUGUUUGGAAGAUUUGGGCUCCACCAAAGUGCAGAUUCUUUGCAUGCUAA
Molecule: ribosomal RNA, 177 nt
Filed under: Triticum aestivum (bread wheat)
Lineage: Eukaryota; Viridiplantae; Streptophyta; Magnoliopsida; Poales; Poaceae
Description: partial small subunit ribosomal RNA
Source: RNAcentral